RNAcentral lists this ribosomal RNA (216 nucleotides) under Glomeromycotina sp. RNAcentral's name for it is "partial small subunit ribosomal RNA". The stretch from base 40 to 216 matches the Rfam family "Eukaryotic small subunit ribosomal RNA", at positions 686 to 864 of the family's 1831-position model. The record is from RNAcentral. Lineage: Eukaryota; Fungi; Glomeromycota.
GGGUCAGUAGGUUGGUCGUGCCACCCGUACGUACUGGUCUCACUGAUUCCUCCUUCCUGAAGAACCGUAAUGCCAUUAAUUUGGUGUUGCGGGGAAACAGGACUGUUACUUUGAAAAAAUUAGAGUGUUUAAAGCAAGCUAACGCUUGAAUACAUUAGCAUGGAAUAAUGAAAUAGGACGAUCGAUCCUAUUUUGUUGGUUUCUAGGAUUGACAUA